UUCGUAAGGGGCUGAUUUGGAUCCACUAGUUUAAUGCUAUGGUUAGACUUUGUCUUAAUUCUUCUUUCGUAGUUGCGGAUGCUUGCGAGAGGGGUUAAUCAUAAGUGGGAUGCUUGUCCAAGUAAGGGUAGUACCCAAGCAUCGGUCCACCCACAUAUCAAACUAUCAAAGUAACGAACGCGGAUCAUAUGAACAUGAUGAAACUAGCAUGACAGAAAUUCCCGUGUGUCCUCGGGAGCG
RNAcentral lists this long non-coding RNA (240 nucleotides) under Hordeum vulgare. Its description in RNAcentral is "long non-coding RNA (HVUL_LNC018408)". Lineage: Eukaryota; Viridiplantae; Streptophyta; Magnoliopsida; Poales; Poaceae. The record is from RNAcentral.